AAAUGACAGAAGAGACAACAACAGGUAAAGUUUCACUGACACUAUGUGUAUAUGUCACAUAAUGCGGCAAGUGCAGGUAUGGCAGUUUAAUAAAAUAACAAGUCCAAGGGAUCAGGCAGAAAUCAAUAAACAAAGACAGGCAGAGCUCAGGCAUUCAGGCAAACAGUCCAAACAAGGCAAGGCAAAAAGAUGCGAUCAAAAACAAGAACAAAGUCAAAACCAGAAUAAACAAACAUGGUCUCAAGGCUUGGUAACGGCAGAGACAAAAUGUAACUGAGCGUAUUGCUUCACAAAGACAUUGUGUAUGAGAGUCUCUUUUAUGUGUGGUGUGAUUGUGAGUAUAAUUGGGAACAGGUGUCUCUGAUUAGUCCUCAGGAAAAGGUGACGUGUCUGUGUGUAGUUUUGUGAGUUGUAGUCGUUGGCCAUGAUUGUAGUGUGCAAUGCAUUCUGAAAAAUGGAGUCAUGAGUUUACCAUGAUAUGACAGUAUAUAUAAAUAUGUGAGCACUGCAUCCACCCAUUAUCCCAUUCGUUCGACAUAUAGGAUCUGAUACGUUUUUAAAUACACAUCAGUAUAUUUUAUCACAAUGUGGAUUUGAAUCAUUCAUUUGUAUCGUUCUUUCUCCCCCUCUGUUCUUCUCUGUCUCUACCACAAAAUGACAG
Ictalurus punctatus (channel catfish) is the source of this 661-nucleotide long non-coding RNA. NCBI's taxonomy places the organism in Eukaryota, Metazoa, Chordata, Actinopteri, Siluriformes, Ictaluridae. The record is from Ensembl.